UACGUAGGGUCCGAGCGUUGUCCGGAAUUACUGGGCGUAAAGAGCUCGUAGGUGGUUUGUCGCGUUGUUCGUGAAAACUCACAGCUCAACUGUGGGCGUGCGGGCGAUACGGGCAGACUAGAGUACUGCAGGGGAGACUGGAAUUCCUGGUGUAGCGGUGGAAUGCGCAGAUAUCAGGAGGGACACCGGUGGCGAAGGCGGGUCUCUGGGCAGUAACUGACGCUGAGGAGCGAAAGCGUGGGGAGCGAACAGG
This 253-nucleotide ribosomal RNA is filed under the name uncultured bacterium. RNAcentral describes it as "partial 16S ribosomal RNA". It matches the Rfam family "Bacterial small subunit ribosomal RNA", at positions 524 to 776 of the family's 1533-position model. The record is from RNAcentral.